CAGUGGGAUGGAUAUAUUCUGAUUUAGCAGGACUGGGCAGAGGAAUAUGAUUAACCUCACUCUAACCAUGUUGGAUUCAGAGAGGAGAAGGUGGAGUGGGUGCUGGGGUGCAAACUCAUGGUAGUCCUUGACCUCACCUACUCUCAUUCCCUUCUCUCAUGCCUGAGGAGACCCCAGACCCUAUGCUCCAUACCUACUUCUUGGUAGUUGAACACUAAGAGG
This 222-nucleotide long non-coding RNA is filed under the name Homo sapiens (human). RNAcentral's name for it is "LHRI_LNC1448.1". Lineage: Eukaryota; Metazoa; Chordata; Mammalia; Primates; Hominidae. The record is from RNAcentral.